This 773-nucleotide long non-coding RNA is filed under the name Rattus norvegicus (Norway rat). RNAcentral describes it as "long non-coding RNA NONRATT031641". The record is from RNAcentral. Lineage: Eukaryota; Metazoa; Chordata; Mammalia; Rodentia; Muridae.
UGUAAACCAUUCUGCGUACCCCCCGGCCGGGGAGAAUGCGGGGAGACCGCGUUUAGAGGAUCAGUGGCGGCAGGCCCGCGCGGUGCCGGCGACUAGCAGCGAGAAGUCCCGGCUUCUUCCAGGUUUGGAAAAGCCAAGUGAGGAGCGCGAGAUCCUGUUAUCCCGACGACUCCCAAGCAGCUGCCAAAAAGAAGGGGCCGUUGGUCUCCACGUUCUCCACUUCCAACUGUUCCAGAACUAGCUGCUAUCUCCCUGGACUCAACAGCCCCUCUCGGGAAUCUGAGAUGGCAUUGGGGGACCAACCUCCCGAGGUUGUGAGGAUGACAACAGUACUCUGUGAUGCUGUCCCUCCUCAGGUUGGCUGCCAUCCCUGCUGAUGGAGAGAGACUGGAGACUGUCAGAGAAGAUUGUGCCGAUGCAGAGGCCUCCCAGUGAAGUGUGAAGGGAUGGGCCUUAACCAGGGUUGAAGAAAAAAAGUGAAGAAGGGAGAACCCAAGAAAAGGUGGGGACAGUUGGGACUUCUGAUUACAUUCGUCUGGUACACUUCUUUUGCACUGUAUGUUAUCAUCUCCAAAUUUCACAUUUAUUGUAGAAAUCUGCAGUGUGUAUGCCCCGGCCAAAUGCUGCUUGGCUAAAAAAGUGUUAAAUAAAACUGUAAGAAAUGCUACCAGGGCUUUGCAUGGGUUAUUUAAUUCUAUCAGUGACAAACAACACUAAUAUGUAGCCUCUCGCCCAGCACAAUAUCAUGUUUCAUUUAUAUGUGCCGAGACAUA